Molecule: long non-coding RNA, 2759 nt
Organism: Homo sapiens (human)
Lineage: Eukaryota; Metazoa; Chordata; Mammalia; Primates; Hominidae
Exons: 4
Source: RefSeq, a predicted model, not a curated record
CCUGGUUUUCUCAUUCAGGGAGAUCAGAGUGUGUGUCUGCUAGCAGCCAGAAUGUCUGGGCCUCUGAAUAAUUCAAGUGCCUCUUUUCAACGACAGUCACCCAGAGGACAAGCUGAUUGCACUUUGGAUGACCCCUGUAUGUCUGGGUUCCUGGACAUGAUGAAUGUCCUCAUUCUGGUCUUCUCUGGGGAAAUACAUACAUACAUACAUACCGUGUUUGGCAGAGGCCUCUGUGUAAAGUCUCAGUUUAGAGUUAGUUUUAAAGAAAAGCAGAAAUGCUUCUCCCUAAGCCUGAGAGACCCCCACUGCACAGGCAACAGGAGCCAUCUCUCCUUCCUCCUUCUCCCCUCUGCUGUCACUACUUUGCCCUGACACCCUGCCUAGCCCCAUGGACAUGCAUUAGUCUCUCUCUUCCUAUCAACUAUGCAAGGCCCUUCAAGCCCCACUUUUGCUUUCAGAGGGCUUCAUGUCCCCAGAGGCUGAGGAGCUUGCUUGUUUAUCUCUUUUUCUAGCUGUACCUGGUCUGAAAAGGGAGACCGCAUGCACCUUACUGCACCCCCUUCCCACCCCAUCCCUCCUCUGCAUAAGGAAAUGGCCCAGGAACCUCUGCCUGCAUCAUCUGUGUCCCGCUCUGAGACAGUGCGUGCCUCGCUCAUAGACCUUCCCCACUCCCGGGGCUGCUGGAGCCCAGCUCUUGGGCCUUCUUGGGACCACCUUCUUCCCUGAAGCCUGGUGCAAAGGAGAGACAAGGUCUCACUCAGAAUCCGAUUCUGUCCUCCAGCCUGGAGUAUGUGGUGCAAUCCCAGAUCUCUGCAGGCUUGAGCUCCUGGGCUCAAGCGAUCCUCCUGCCUCAGCCUCUCAAGUAGAUGGAACUACAGCUAUGGCACAGCAGCCCUGGAAUGACAACCGGAGACUUUGUGCUUGCAAAAGCUUAUCCUUCUUUGCUGGGAGUUCUGGGAUAACGUAGGUCGGAUCAGAAAACGCCAUAUGCUAGUUCACAGGGAAUUUCCAAAGAGCAGCUAGCUCCAGUUGGUUGCUAAGAGACAGCUCCACAGCUGGACUUUGGCUGCAAAAUUUGAACAAAAAAAGAAGAGCACAAAUGAGCUUGCCAGGUAACAGAAUCUGCGAUGACUUCCCGUCCUGUUUGCUGGCAUCUGUGCUUCCAGAAGCAAUAAAGCAUCACUUUCCUGCUUGUGAUUUACAUGAGGAGAAACAGGCAGACACUCUUCUCCAAGGGGUUUCCUGACCAGCCUUGAAUCUGCUAGCCAGAGCCUAGCAGGACUCUGAGACAAUGAGAUUCCUGAUGCUGGUAAUGAAUGAAGGACAAUGAGAUUCCUGAUGCUGGUAAUGCAUGAAGAAAGAUCAGAGUUAUAAGUGGACUAUGCUUCCAUCCUCCCAAGAGUUCUCCUGGGGUUAGUUUAAAGACAGGGGAUUAACUCUAUUAAAAGUAGAUUUGGCAAAAAGCUGAAAUCAAACACAUGCUUAUGAAUAGGGAACGGGUGAAAUAAGUCAUGGUACAUCCACAGAAUGGAGUAUUACUUAGCUAUAAAUAGACAUGAAGAAUCAUCCACAGAAUGGAGUACUACUUAGCUAUAAAUAGACAUGAAGAAUACUUUUAUGUUUAAAAAGUAUUCAUGUUGCUUUUUCUCCAGGAUGAAAUUUUAAGUUAAAAAAAUUGAAAUUGGCCGGGCGUGGUGGCUCACGUCUGUAAUCCCAGCACUUUGGGAGGCUGAGGCGGGUGGAUCACGAGGUCAGGAGAUUGAGACCAUCCUUGCUAACACGGUGAAACCCCAUCUCUAUUAAAAACAAAACAAUACAAAACAAAAAAAUUAGCCGGGCAUGGUGGCGGGCGCCUGUAGUCCCAGCUACUCGGGAGGCUGAGGCAGGAGAAUGGCAUGAACCUGGCGGAGCGGAGAUUGCAGUGAGCCGAGAUCGCGCCACUGCACUCCAGCCUGGGCAACAGAGCAAGACUCCAUCUCCAAAAAAAAAAAGUUGAAAUUAUGUGUACAAUAGGUUACUAUGUCUUUGAGAAAAAUUUGGGUGAUAAAAACAAAUAAAUUUUCUCAUUUUUAAAAGGUCACAAAUCAUAUUUUAAAAAUUGUUUACCUAUGAGUCAAGGAAGAGGAUAUUUUGCAAAGCACCUAGAAAAGCUCGUUUGAACUGAAAAGAGAGUACAGCACAGGCUCAGGACUGCUCACUGGGUGCAGACACACAGAACAGAACCCAGUGGCACUGCCAAGGCUUUGACAUUGGGAAUGACAUUGAAGCCACAACCACGGAAGGUUUCAGAACGUGCGGCCUGAACUCAACCUUGCUGCUUGCCUGCCGAAGCAAGAACACCAGGAUUCUCCACGGGAUUUAAAUGAGACCUACAGUGUCAUAGCAUAAUAUUCAAAUACCCAGGAUAUGAUCCAUCUUAUCUGAUCUAGAAAGAAACAGGAAAAGUCUCAACCUAUAUCAGAAAAAAAAACAAUAAACAUGACAACACUGAGGAGACACAGAUUUCGAAUUAUCUGAUAAAGAUUUAAAGCAGUUAAUUAAAUGUUUCAACAAGCAGUAAUGAAUACUCUUGAAAUAAAUGGGAAAUAGGAAGUAAUUAUAAUGUUAUAACUUCUAGUUUAUUAUAACACCUAACAAAUUUACAUCUAACAAAAAUAGCAUCUAACAAAUUUCUGUGCUAUUAAAUUACCUUAUACUCAGUUCAUAUUCAAAUUUUCUAUUUUGUCUCAUUUUCUUACAGUGAAUUUAUUUAUAUCAGA